GUGCCAGCCGCCGCGGUAAUACGGAGGGUGCAAGCGUUACUCGGAAUCACUGGGCGUAAAGGGUGCGUAGGCUGGCUUUUAAGUCAGAUGUGAAAUCCAAUGGCUCAACCAUUGAACUGCAUUUGAAACUGGGAGCCUAGAGUUCAGAAGGGGCAGAUGGAAUUAGUGGUGUAGGGGUAAAAUCCGUAGAUAUCACUAGGAAUAUCAAAAGCGAAGGCGAUCUGCUGGGAUGAUACUGACGCUGAGGCACGAAAGCGUGGGGAGCAAACAGGAUUAGAUACCCUGGUAGUCCACGCCCUAAACGAUGAAUGCUAGUCGUCGGGAAGCUCGUCUUUUCGGUGACGCACUUAACAGAUUAAGCAUUCCGCCUGGGGAGUACGGUCGCAAGAUUAAAACUCAAAGGAAUAGACGGGGACCCGCACAAGUGGUGGAGCAUGUGGUUUAAUUCGAAGAUACACGAAGAACCUUACCUGGCCUUGACAUCCCAAGAACUUUCCAGAGAUGGAUUGGUGCUAGCUUGCUAGAACUUGGUGACAGGUGCUGCACGGCUGUCGUCAGCUCGUGUCGUGAGAUGUUGGGUUAAGUCCCGCAACGAGCGCANCCCUCGUCUUUAGUUGCUAACAGUUAGGCUGAGCACUCUAAAGAGACUGCCUCCGUAAGGAGGAGGAAGGUGAGGACGACGUCAAGUCAUCAUGGCCCUUACGGCCAGGGCUACACACGUGCUACAAUGGGGCGUACAGAGAGCUGCNAUACCGCGNGGUGGAGCCAAUCUCUUAAAGCGUCUCUCANUUUC
Molecule: ribosomal RNA, 793 nt
Filed under: uncultured Sulfuricurvum sp.
Lineage: Bacteria; Pseudomonadati; Campylobacterota; Epsilonproteobacteria; Campylobacterales; Sulfurimonadaceae
Description: bacterial SSU rRNA
Rfam family: Bacterial small subunit ribosomal RNA
Source: RNAcentral